Molecule: ribosomal RNA, 766 nt
Filed under: Foraminifera environmental sample
Lineage: Eukaryota; Foraminifera
Description: SSU rRNA
Rfam family: Eukaryotic small subunit ribosomal RNA
Source: RNAcentral
GGGCACCACAAGAACGCGUGGAGCAUGUGGCUUAAUUUGACUCAACGCGGGAAAACUUACCGGGUCCGGACACACUGAGGAUUGACAGGCGACUACAAAUAUGCUAGUCCUUUCAUGAUUGUGUGAUAGGUGGUGCAUGGCCGUUCUUAGUUCGUGGAGUGAUCUGUCUGCUUAAUUGCGUUUCAGAUAUAUGGGUUGUUAUCACGUACGCUUUGAUUUCGAAUUGAGACACGCAAGUGUUUUGUUUGAGCAUUGCCGAGUGGACACCCUUUGAAAGCAACGAACGUGACCGCAACCCUUUGUUAUCUCUCUUUUAUUAGUAGAGACCAACUAAGGGGACCGCCAGGGUUGUUAAACCGGAGGAAGGUUGCGGCAAUAACAGGUCUGUGAUGCCCUUAGAUGUUCCGGGCUGCACACGUGCUACAAUGAUUGUUGCAGAAAGCAUCUCACAUUGAUUUGUCCUUCGGAAAAGUAGUAAUACUUGGAAGAGGACCACGUCAUUAAUGUGUUGUUUAUCUUCAUUGAUUUACUUCGCAAUUAACAACGUGCAACCUACCUCGAAAGUACGGUAGGCAAUCAAUUCCAAGUGACAAUCUCCCGCGCACAAAACCAAAUGAAGUGUGUGUUGUUCACUUUUAGUGUUCAACUACAUUUCAUGUGCUCCAUAAAUUCGUGGUCGGGACAGACCAUUGCUAAUUAUUGGUCUCGGUCUCAACUAGGAAUGCCUUGUACGGGUCUUUGGUUCAUCAAACCACCCGGAAUACGU